AGAGGCUAACCGGAUAGCCCGGAAUGUCCUUAGGGACACUGCUCCGCAUAUUAUCUCAGGACAGCAUCAAUAUUUAACCCUCACCAAGGGUCUGGAAGAGAAGUUCUGCUAAAAUAUUUGUCCUUUUCUUAAGUGCCUCCGGGAGCAGACUCUGUGUCACUGACCAUGUCGGCCACUCCAGGGUUCGCCUCCCUGACCCAAGCAGGCUCCAGCAUGACAGAGGCCUUCUAGAAUGGAUUCUAGGCUGCUGAUAACUGUGAAGAGUGAAGGACCCAAACUGGUGCCAUUCUUCAAGGCCACCUGCGUGUAUUUUGUGCUCUGGCUGCCCUCAUCUAGCCCAUCGUGGGUCAGCACCCUCAUCAAGUGCCUGCCCAUCUUCUGCCUCUGGCUCUUCCUUCUGGCUCAUGGCCUGGGAUUCCUGCUGGCCCACCCCAGCGCCACCCGCAUCUUUGUGGGGCUUGUCUUCUCUGCUGUAGGUGACGCCUUCCUCAUCUGGCAGGACCAAGGAUACUUCGUGCAUGGUCUGCUGAUGUUUGCUGUGACCCACAUGUUCUACGCCUCGGCCUUUGGCAUGCGGCCACUGGCUCUUCGGACAGGUCUGGUGAUGGCAGCGCUGUCGGGCCUGUGCUAUGCCCUCCUCUACCCAUGCCUCUCAGGUGCCUUCACCUACCUGGUGG
Molecule: small RNA, 677 nt
Filed under: Pongo abelii (Sumatran orangutan)
Lineage: Eukaryota; Metazoa; Chordata; Mammalia; Primates; Hominidae
Description: processed transcript
Source: RNAcentral